GAUCUUCUCCCCAUCGCGGUCGUUUUCUCGCUCUCCUCUCCGGCGAUCUCGUCUUCCAAUCCUUCAGCCUUCCUUUCUAAUCGCUCAUCGAACGCUCCUCCCUCUCGAUCUCAAUCUCCUGCCACUGAUCUCCAAUACCUAAACCUUUAUCCUACUCUAUUCCUUUGAUCUCCGUAGAGAUCCCUCGGUUUCCUUUCGAUUCGCUGCCUCUUUCGCCCUCGGAAACGCUAAUCCGGCCUCUCGGGUCCGGAUCUCUGCUUCUUACUACAUCAGGUGCUGUGCGGAUGGCGAGCGGCAACGUGGAUCUGCCGGAUGAUCCCUCCAUCACAAAGCCGGUCGAGGAGGUGUGGGCCGGCAAAGGACCAACACGGAGGAGGUAAAUCAUGAUGACUGAGCCGGCAAGUGGCGGGGGGAGAGCAGACACGGGGUGCAGGGAUUUUCCCCCCGCUAGCCCCGAGAAUCGACCCAAAACCUUUUACGACAAUCAACCUGCAACUUACCAACUCAGCUAUGUCCAUGGGGGUCAGGUUUCGCUAUUCAUGCUUGACUCUGGUGCUGAGGUUCAGGCAGCAAACUCUUUUCUUUCCUCAUCUGAUCAUCUCUCUACUCGACUUUAGAUAGAGUUUCUAGGGGUUUUAUCGGUUAGCGUCUCCCUGAUCUAUCGUCACUCCGCCGUAGGAGGCAUUGUCGUUGGGGAUCCUCUUCGGUCCUUGCUUCGAUCACCAUGGUGAUGCUAAUAUGCUUUUGAUUAUCAACGCAUUUGUUUUUUUUUUCCUUCUGGAUUUGCUUGUUUGUGCCAAACAAAGAGUUGCUUGAUUCAUUUGUUAUUCGAUGCAUUUGUUCCGUUCGUCUCCCUUUCAACAAACUCGAGUGAUUUGGUUGAGAGUGAGUUAAUUGAAGGUCAUGAAUAGAGCUCUGAGUUAUUUCCUUGCAUUAUGCAUAAUGGAUUGUUGAUUUUGACGAUGCUCUGAAAUCUAAGGAGCCCUUGAGCGCGAAGCGAAAUGAAUAUACCUGUGGAAAGUGUAGGCGGUAACCAGAGAUCAGGAUGCUCAUGGUAGCACUAAUUUAUUAUUGUUAUUAUUAUUUUUUUUCAAUUUUUGUCGUUAGAUGUAAAGAAUUUUGUUAAUUUUGUUAGACAUAAAGAUAAGUAUAUUUUUUUUUA
Zingiber officinale is the source of this 1162-nucleotide long non-coding RNA. RefSeq lists it as uncharacterized. The record is from RefSeq and is a predicted model, not a curated record. Lineage: Eukaryota; Viridiplantae; Streptophyta; Magnoliopsida; Zingiberales; Zingiberaceae. The transcript has 2 exons.